This is a long non-coding RNA of Dama dama (fallow deer), 1724 nucleotides long. RefSeq lists it as uncharacterized. NCBI's taxonomy places the organism in Eukaryota, Metazoa, Chordata, Mammalia, Artiodactyla, Cervidae. The transcript is spliced from 5 exons. The record is from RefSeq and is a predicted model, not a curated record.
UGAACCUCUGGUACCUACAAGGAGGGUGUCUCACCGAACGGUAGCUAAGACCUCACCACAACCGCGCGGGAGCGAGGAGUCGCGGCCAAAGGCGCCAGCCCGAGCCUCCGCUCUGGGCCGGACCCCAGCCCGAGCGGCCGAAAGGAGCCCCCCGCCCGGAUCGCAGUGAAAAAUGAUAACAUCAUUUUUAUGUGACUCAUAUGCAAAAUGAAAUACGUUCAUCUAUGAGGUCGGCUGAUGGGAAAUAAAAUCAGAUAUUUUACUUCUGACUCCAUCAAGCAAAAGAAAAAUCAGUUGUGAUUCCAAGAAGAGAUGAACUCUUGCACAGCCCUGAGUUCCUAGUUCCCCAAGCAGAAACUGGACUGGACCAAGGACUGAACUCAUGCCCUCUGCAGUGAAAGUGCAUAGUCCUAACCCCUGGAUCGUCAGGGAAUUCUCUUUGUUUUAACUAUAAGGAGAGAAAAGGAGAUAUCAGAGUUGAGAAGAGAAAUCCUAGCAAAUAGCUGCAUUCUCAGUUGAAUAUUGGAUCCAUGAUGGUUAGGAUCUGGUAUGUUCCUUUCAUCACUUGAAUCCAUUUCCUACAACUGUGUAAGGCCAUGGAUCAAUUUCUUUACCUUUAAAAUGAUGGAGUAGACUGGAUGGCUAAUGUUUCUUGCAGCACUAAUGGUCACUGAUGGCAUGCAUGUUUCAAGGGUUUGUAUGAAAACCAAGUAAUAUUUUUACAGGAAACUUUGCUUAUGUAACAGAUUGCAUUUGACAGAUCUUUUUUUUAAUUCUGUAACUUUAAUCCAAGAUGAAAUUAUUUAUGUGUUAGUUAUCUGUGCUUUCAUUAAUGUUUGCCUUUUAUUCCUGAUUAAACAAGGUUAUUUUGGUCUGAAAAAUCCAUUUUUUUGUCAUUUAGAUACCCAAAUAGGAUUAAAAAAAAAAAAAAAAGAUUCUUACAGCUUACAGUGAGGAUUCUCUUAAAAACUUUUUAAAGUUAAUGUUUUAAAUGGUGAAUUUCUAGAAAAUUCUAGAAAUACAGAUAGAUCUAUUUGAGGAGGAAAGAGAGAGCUGAGAGAUAUCUAGUUGUUUCCAGAUUUUAUAAUACUAUGAGCAUCUUGAAUAAGUGGACAUUAAGAAAUCUUCGUCUGUUUUUUCAUUUUGUAUGGUAAAUAUAAAUUUAGUAUUAUACUAAAGUCUUUUGAGUGGGUUUGCUAGCUGAUCAUAACUUCACCACAUUGUCAGGAGAUUGAAUCCAUAAUUGUGGAAAGAUAUUGCUUGUAAAGAACAUUUAGUUUCCUUUUGCUUUUCAUGAGGAUGCUUUUUAAUUGUCUAUGUGUUUCAUUUUCAUCAGUACCUAAGUGUGUUAAAUAAUUUAAUAAGAAUAAUAUGUAAAAUUCCAAAUACAUUUCAUUUCAAAUAUAAACUUACAUGUAGUAAUACCAAGGUACUUAAUUUCACAUUUAUUAAACUGAAAUUACUUUAAAAAAUUUGAUUUUGCUAUUGUUAUGUGAAAAUGUGAAAGGAAUGUGAAAAAUGAAUAAGUGCUAGGGGAUAAAUAAUCCUACAGUAUUCAUGUUCAAAGAAUACUAUUAUAUUCCUAUCUGAAAGCUAUGUUCUUUAUUUAGAUAUAUUUACUUGCUAAUUGAAACUCAAAUGGUAUUAUUGAAGCAUUGUUUGCAGAUUUCUAACUUCUGGCUUAAUGCAGAGAAAAUGUGGUCUUAUAUAAAACUUGGAAAACA